This 118-nucleotide ribosomal RNA is filed under the name bacterium. The record is from RNAcentral.
UGCUGGUGUUUCACUCGAGCGUGUCCCACCUCUUCCCAUUCCGAACAGAGAAGUGAAAGCGCUUGAGCCUGAUGAUACUUGCUGCUUCGGUGGUCGGGAAAGUAGGGUACGCCGGCAU